Molecule: long non-coding RNA, 2969 nt
Organism: Hemibagrus wyckioides
Lineage: Eukaryota; Metazoa; Chordata; Actinopteri; Siluriformes; Bagridae
Exons: 3
Source: RefSeq, a predicted model, not a curated record
AUUUAAGCAGCGUGCACGCUACAAACAACGUGAUGUAUUGUUUCCUAUGAGACUUACUGAGCCAUGCUUUACCUACCAUUGUCUUGAUAUUCUGUGAAUGACUUCUGCUUUGUUUUUUGGUUUUCGAGUUACAGUUUUUGCUAUUCAGAUUUGCUUGUCUGUGUUUCUUGCUUUCCGAUUUUGACUCUUUUCCGCGUCCUGCUAAUCAGGUUUUUUUUUUGACAAAUGACAAGCAAGGAUCAGUAUUCAGUUAACUAAUGCUUUGUUGUGUAAUGGGCAAUUAUUUGUGCAGUAAUCUUAUCCUGCUUAAAAAAAAUGAAAAUGAAAAACAAAAUUUACUUGGUCAGAGGUCAAAUAUCAAGAAUAAAGUUUGACCUAUUGGGUUAAUAGGUUGCUGUAUAACAUCAGUAAUGUUAAUAGAGACUACUGCUUACUGAUUGUUAACUUACUUAGCUUAACUAAAGCAUAACUAGCCAUGCAUGACAUAAGUAAGAUAAUGGCAGAUUUAUUCACAUACACAAUAAAGUAAUUUUUCAUUGUUCAUUUCUUCUUCAACUUCAUUGUUGCAAGCUAACAUUAGAUUUCAUAUUAAAAAAUGCCAUUAUGAUUAUCAUAGGACGUGUUUACCUCUACAUGUUUUCACAUAUGAUGGAGAAUUUGAAAUUAUAAGACAAAAUCGUAUGUUACUGUAUAAUUUGUACUGCAUUUAGUGAAACCAAAAAGCAAUGUAGGUCAAAAAUAAUGUGCACGCUGUACCUUGGUUGGCUUGCUGUGCUGUAAAUAGACAACUGUGUUUUUGUUUGUUUGUUUUUGAUGGUCUGUAAGAAGAAGAGGUCAAAGAUAGAGAUAGAGAAGAAAACCAAGUGGUGGAACCUGAAAAAGGAGCAAUGUUGUGAGGAAUUUAGACAGAAGUUGAGGCAGGCUCUGGGUGGCCAGGUAGUGCUGCCAGAUGACUGGGAAACUACAGCAGAAUUGAUCAGGGAGACAGGAAGAAAGGUGCUGGGUGUGUCAUCUGGAAGGAGGAAAGAAGAUAAGGAGACUUGGUGGUGGAAUGAGGAAGUUCAGGAUAGUAUUCAGAAGAAGAGGUGAAGAAGUGGGACAUGGACAGGACUGAAGAGAACAGACAGGAGUACAAUGAAUUACAGUGCAGAGUGAAGAGGGAGGUGUCUAAAGCCAAGCAGAAGGCAUAUGAUGAGUUGUACACUAGGUUAGAAGGGGAGAAGGACUUGUACAGGUUAGCGUGGUUAGAGUUAUUAAGGAUAGAGAUGAAAAGGUGCUCAUAAGUGAGUAGAGUGUACAGAGGAGAUUGAGGAGAAUGAGUACUUUGAAGAGUUGAUGAAUGAGGAAAAUGAGAGGGAAAAAAGAGUAGAAGGGGUGAGCUCUGUGGAGCAGAAAGUAGAUAAGAUUAGAAAGGAUGAAGUCAGGAAGGCCUUGAAGAGGAUGAAAAGUGGAAAGGCAGUUGGUCCUGACGACAUCCCGGUGGAGGUCUGGAAGUAUCUAGGAGAGGCAGCAGUGGAAUUUUUAACUAGUUUGUUUAACAGGGUUUUAGACAAUGAGAAGAUGCCUGAGGAAUGGAGAGCCUUGGAGUGCGUUAGUGCCAAUCUUUAAGAAUAAGGGAUAAAGUUGUUGAGCCAUACAAUGAAGCUAUGGGAAAGAGUAGUGGAAGCUAGGUUAAGGAAGGUAGUGGAAAUUUGUGAGCAGCAGUAUGGCUUCAUGCCCAGAAAGAGCACAACAGAUGCAAUUUUUGCUCUGAGAAUUUUGAUGGAGAAGUAUAGGGAUGGUUAGAGAGAGUUGCACUGUGUUUGUAGACUUGGAGAACGUGUAUGACAGGGUGCCAAGAGAAGAGCUGUGGUAUUGUAUGAGGAAGUCAGGAGCAGCAGAGAAGUAUGUUUUAUAGAAUAAAUAUGUAAUUUAAUCUAAUUGAUUAAUAAACAAAGAGUGAGGCAGAGCUACAUGAAUUCUUAUGGAAAUUUCUGCAUUUCCCAUAUUUUCUUUUUAGUUGCUAAACACAAAUAACAUUUAUUUUUUAUUUGGAUUCAUAUCUUCUAUUUGGCUUCAGCUAAAAAUCUAUCUGCCUAUAUAAGCACCUUAGUCUUUCCUUAGUCUUUGCACAUUUAACUCAGAGUCUGCAGUGCAACAGAAGUCUUGCGGAUUGUUUGUGCUUCUUCUAAAUGGAACAACUUCCAAGAUCCUAACCAGUCUGGCUUUAAAGCAGCACAUUCCAAAGGCACUACCCUUUUGGCUGUCACUGAGAAACUACAUGCUGCUAGAAUAGCCAAUCUGUCAUCUGUCCUCAUCGUCCUCAACCAUUCGGCAGCAUUUGACACAGUCAACCACAAGAUUCACUUGUCCACCCUCAGGAGAAUUUGCAUGGGAAUGGUUUGCUUCCUACCUGGAUGGUCACUCAUAUCAGAUACAAUGACUUCUGCUCAGAUCUCUGUGUUUGUGGACACAUCAUCAUAGAUGACAGCUCAUCAGCUGAAACUUAAUCCAGUAAAAGUGAACUCCUGGUCAUCCAUGGUGCUUCAUCCCCAGCCCAGGAUCUUGUGAUAUCCCUGAUCAACUCUCUGAUUGCACCUUGGGCCAGUGCUCGCAACAUGGGUUAACCAUGGACAAUCAACUGUCCUUUUUCUCUGUCGGGUUUUUCUGUACAACAACAGAAAAAUGUUGCAAUUUUUAUCCAUACAGGCUGCUCAGGUGCUUGUUUUUCAGUCUCUAGUCAUUUUGAGACUAGACUACUGCAACUCUUUACUGGCAGGUCUACAUCUUAAUGCAAUAUGUCCUCUGCAAAUGAUCCAAAAUGCAGAUGCAUGACUUUUAAACCUGUUCUCCCACACCACCCCACUGCUGCGCUCACUCUACUGGCUUCUGGUAGCUGAUGCUUGCCUACAAGCCAAAAAUGGACCAGCACCCUCUUACCUCAAAGCUCUCAUUUCUCCUCACACUGGUAAUCACACAAUCUCUCAGGG